This 733-nucleotide long non-coding RNA is filed under the name Oryza brachyantha (malo sina). RNAcentral describes it as "long non-coding RNA (OBRA_LNC000839)". The record is from RNAcentral. Lineage: Eukaryota; Viridiplantae; Streptophyta; Magnoliopsida; Poales; Poaceae.
AUCACGCCCCAACCCUAGGAACCCCCCUAGGUCAGGCCUGUGCUCUAGGAUAUCAAGACUUCCCUCACACAACCAACACACAUGUCUUUUCUGCGCACUUUGUCCUCACUCAUGCGCACCCGAGAAAUGACUUCCCGGUCGGUCACCCAUCCCAAGAUUACUCCAGGCCAAGCACACUUAACCUUGGAGUUCUCUCGAGAUAAGCUUCCGGAAAAGAAGUUGCAACUUGUUGGUAUGAGUAUCUAUCAAAUCCUAUUAAGGCUUGGGCUGGGAUGUUACAUACACCCACCCUCAAAGGACCCGACGUCCCCGUCGGUCCAACAUACCCACACUUGGGCAAACAACCAGGAACGUUCCCCAAGACUUCCCUUUCCCUCACACAACCAACACACAUGUCUUUUCUGCGCACUUUGUCCUCACUCAUGCGCACCCGAGAAAUGACUUCCCGGUCGGUCACCCAUCCCAAGAUUACUCCAGGCCAAGCACACUUAACCUUGGAGUUCUCUCGAGAUAAGCUUCCGGAAAAGAAGUUGCAACUUGUUGGUAUGAGUAUCUAUCAAAUCCUAUUAAGGCUUGGGCUGGGAUGUUACAUCCACCCCCCCUCAAAGGACCCGACGUCCCCGUCGGUCCAACAUACCCACACUUGGGCAAACAACCAGGAACGUUCCCCUCUUGGCCACGUCCGUGUGUCCUGGUCCGACCCAUGUGCCAUGCCGUGUGUGAUGUCCGGCCU